Molecule: small nucleolar RNA, 104 nt
Filed under: Gossypium hirsutum (cotton)
Lineage: Eukaryota; Viridiplantae; Streptophyta; Magnoliopsida; Malvales; Malvaceae
Also listed under: 1 other name
Description: Plant small nucleolar RNA R71
Rfam family: Plant small nucleolar RNA R71
About the family: R71 is a member of the C/D box family of snoRNAs containing the C (UGAUGA) and D (CUGA) box motifs. Multiple nearly identical copies of this snoRNA have been identified in Arabidopsis, and it is thought to function as a 2'-O-ribose methylation guide for 18S ribosomal RNA.
Source: Rfam by way of RNAcentral
AUGCAAUGAGGGCACUUCUAUAAUAAUUCUGUGUACCUUUCCCAUGCCUCAUACAAGGACUCAUCAUUCAUUUGUUGGAAAGCAAUGAUCUCGUUCCUCAACUU